This 681-nucleotide ribosomal RNA is filed under the name uncultured bacterium. RNAcentral's name for it is "bacterial SSU rRNA". It matches the Rfam family "Bacterial small subunit ribosomal RNA", at positions 82 to 794 of the family's 1533-position model. The record is from RNAcentral.
CUUCGGGUGGACAGCGGCGAACGGCUGAGUAACACGUUAGUACCUGCCCUUAGCUCAGGGAUAACGUCAAGAAAUUGACGCUAAUACCGGAUAGUCCAGUAAUGGUAAAGAUUUAUCGGCUAAGGAGGGGCUUGCGGCGUAUCAGUUUGUUGGUGAGGUAAUGGCUCACCAAGACUAUGACGCGUAUCUGGCGUGAGAGCGCGACCAGACAGAGUGGGACUGAGACACGGCCCACACUCCUACGGGAGGCAGCAGUGAGGAAUUUUCCACAAUGGGCGAAAGCCUGAUGGAGCAAUCCCGCGUGGAUGAUGACACCUUUCGGGGCGUAAAAUCCUUUUCUGAGGGAAGAAAUUUUGACGGUACCUCAGGAAUAAGCGACGGCUAACUACGUGCCAGCAGCCGCGGUAAUACGUAGGUCGCAAGCGUUAUCCGGAAUUAUUGGGCGUAAAGCGAUCGAAGGCGGUCAAGUAAGUAGCAUAUUAAAUACCUGCGGCUCAACCGAGGUGCUGUAUGCUAAACUGCUAGACUUGAGAUGCAGAGAGGAAGCUGGAAUUUCCAUUGUAGGGGUAAAAUCCGUAGAUAAUGGAAGGAACACCAAAAGCGAAGGCAGGCUUCUGGCUGUAUUCUGACGCUGCUCGAUCGAAAGCGUGGGGAGCGAAAGGGAUUAGAUACCCCUGUAGU